RNAcentral lists this transfer RNA (74 nucleotides) under Marmota monax (woodchuck). Its description in RNAcentral is "tRNA.Ala". The record is from RNAcentral. Lineage: Eukaryota; Metazoa; Chordata; Mammalia; Rodentia; Sciuridae.
GCUGGGGUGCAGCUCAGGGGUAGAGCACUGGCCUAGCAUGUGCAAAGGCCCUGGGUUCCAUCCCCAGCCCCACA